RNAcentral lists this ribosomal RNA (229 nucleotides) under uncultured fungus. RNAcentral's name for it is "partial small subunit ribosomal RNA". The stretch from base 111 to 229 matches the Rfam family "Eukaryotic small subunit ribosomal RNA", at positions 744 to 864 of the family's 1831-position model. The record is from RNAcentral. Lineage: Eukaryota; Fungi.
GGUACGACGCAUUCGGCCCGGCGGCUUCGCGUCGCUUGUGUGCUGGACUGCGUCUGCCAUCCUUCUCGAUCGCGACGCGGCUGCCCUUCGCUGGGUGGUCGCUCCGGUUGUUGAUCUUUUACUUUGAAAAAAUUAGAGUGUUUAAAGCAGGCUUGCGCUAUGAAUACAUUAGCAUGGAAUAAUAAUUUAGGACUUUGUUUCUAUUUUGUUGGCUUCUAGGGACGAAGUA